AUUUGAUCAUUUGUGUGCAGGAGAGCACUUCCUAGGGAGAUUGCUCAUUUAUGUCUCCUCUAGGGGUUUAAUAUUCACUGGGCUGAUCAGACUUUAUCAGCAGACCAGGUUUACCUUACGAAUGCUCCCUGGCUGAGCAGCACAGUAUAAAAUAGAAUAGUAGGAGAAUGGGCUCCAGCACCACAAAUCCUGGAUUGUUUUGACUGGAGUCAGAGUGGGUUCUCUUGUCUUUUCCUCUCAAAGAUAUCCAUAAAAGGACAACGGUUGGACCCUAUGGAAUCAGUUCGUGAGGAGACAGUCAACUUGACCACAGACAGCAGGACCCCAGAAGUGUGCCUAGCCCUGUACCCAGGCACCAACUACACUGUGAACAUCUCCACAGCACCUCCCAGGCGCUCGAUGCCAGCCGUCAUCGGUUUCCAGACAGCUGAAGUUGAUCUCUUAGAAGAUGAUGGAAGUUUCAAUAUUUCAAUAUUUAAUGAAACUUGUUUGAAAUUGAACAGGCGUUCUAGGAAAGUUGGAUCAGAACACAUGUACCAA
Molecule: small RNA, 540 nt
Filed under: Pan troglodytes (chimpanzee)
Lineage: Eukaryota; Metazoa; Chordata; Mammalia; Primates; Hominidae
Description: retained intron
Source: RNAcentral